This 234-nucleotide ribosomal RNA is filed under the name uncultured bacterium. Its description in RNAcentral is "partial 16S ribosomal RNA". It matches the Rfam family "Bacterial small subunit ribosomal RNA", at positions 15 to 253 of the family's 1533-position model. The record is from RNAcentral.
GAUCAUGGCUCAGAUUGAACGCUGGCGGCAUGCUUUACACAUGCAAGUCGAACGGUAACAGGUCUUCGGAUGCUGACGAGUGGCGAACGGGUGAGUAAUACAUCGGAACGUGCCUAGUAGUGGGGGAUAACUACUCGAAAGAGUAGCUAAUACCGCAUGAGAUCUACGGAUGAAAGCAGGGGACCUUCGGGCCUUGUGCUACUAGAGCGGCUGAUGGCAGAUUAGGUAGUUGGG